RNAcentral lists this ribosomal RNA (468 nucleotides) under uncultured bacterium. RNAcentral's name for it is "partial 16S ribosomal RNA". It matches the Rfam family "Bacterial small subunit ribosomal RNA", at positions 28 to 507 of the family's 1533-position model. The record is from RNAcentral.
GACGAACGCUGGCGGCGUGCUUAACACAUGCAAGUCGAACGGAAAGGCCCUGCUUUUGUGGGGUGCUCGAGUGGCGAACGGGUGAGUAACACGUGAGUAGCCUGCCCUUGACUUUGGGGUAACUUCAGGAAACUGGGGCUAAUACCGGAUAGGAGCUCCUGCUGCAUGGUGGGGGUUGGAAAGUUUCGGCGGUUGGGGAUGGACUCGCGGCCUAUCGGCUUGUUGGUGGGGUAGUGGCUUACCCAGGCUUUGACGGGUAGCCGGCCUGAGAGGGUGACCGGCCACAUUGGGACUGAGAUACGGCCCAGACUCCUACGGGAGGCAGCAGUGGGGAAUAUUGCACAAUGGGCGGAAGCCUGAUGCAGCAACGCCGCGUGCGGGAUGACGGCCUUCGGGUUGUAAACCGCUUUCGCCUGUGACGAAGCGUGAGUGACGGUAAUGGGUAAAGAAGCACCGGCUAACUACGUG